AAUUAGGUGUCUCAGGAGUGAUGU
Molecule: non-coding RNA, 24 nt
Filed under: Cricetulus griseus (Chinese hamster)
Lineage: Eukaryota; Metazoa; Chordata; Mammalia; Rodentia; Cricetidae
Source: RNAcentral